This 253-nucleotide ribosomal RNA is filed under the name uncultured bacterium. RNAcentral's name for it is "partial 16S ribosomal RNA". It matches the Rfam family "Bacterial small subunit ribosomal RNA", at positions 524 to 776 of the family's 1533-position model. The record is from RNAcentral.
UACGUAGGGUGCAGGCGUUAAUCGGAAUUACUGGGCGUAAAGCGUGCGUAGGCGGAUUGCUAAGUCAGGGGUGAAAUCCUGGAGCUCAACUCCAGAACUGCCUUUGAUACUGGCGACCUUGAGUCCGGGAGAGGUGAGUGGAACUGCGAGUGUAGAGGUGAAAUUCGUAGAUAUUCGCAAGAACACCAGUGGCGAAGGCGGCUCACUGGCCCGGUACUGACGCUGAGGUGCGAAAGCGUGGGGAGCAAACAGG